AUUGAACGCUGGCGGAAUGCUUUACACAUGCAAGUCGAACGGCAGCACGGGGCAACCUGGUGGCGAGUGGCGAACGGGUGAGUAAUACAUCGGAACGUGCCCAAUCGUGGGGGAUAACGUAGCGAAGUUACGCUAAUACCGCAUACGAUCUACGGAUGAAAGCGGGGGAUCGCAAGACCUCGCGCGAAUGGAGCGGCCGAUGUCAGAUUAGGUAGUUGGUGGGGUAAAGGCUCACCAAGCCAACGAUCUGUAGCUGGUCUGAGAGGACGACCAGCCACACUGGAACUGAGACACGGUCCAGACUCCUACGGGAGGCAGCAGUGGGGAAUUUUGGACAAUGGGCGCAAGCCUGAUCCAGCCAUUCCGCGUGCAGGAUGAAGGCCUUCGGUUGUAAACUACUUUGUUACGGAACGAAAGGUACCUGGUUAAUACCUGGGCUCAUGACGGUACCGUAAGAAUAAGCACCGGCUAACUACGUGCCAGCAGCCGCGGUAAGUCUGAGUCGG
This 506-nucleotide ribosomal RNA is filed under the name uncultured bacterium. Its description in RNAcentral is "bacterial SSU rRNA". It matches the Rfam family "Bacterial small subunit ribosomal RNA", at positions 30 to 532 of the family's 1533-position model. The record is from RNAcentral.